Molecule: ribosomal RNA, 465 nt
Filed under: Vreelandella stevensii
Lineage: Bacteria; Pseudomonadati; Pseudomonadota; Gammaproteobacteria; Oceanospirillales; Halomonadaceae
Description: partial 16S ribosomal RNA
Rfam family: Bacterial small subunit ribosomal RNA
Source: RNAcentral
CCUACGGGGAGCAGCAGUGGGGAAUAUUGGACAAUGGGCGAAAGCCUGAUCCAGCCAUGCCGCGUGUGUGAAGAAGGCCUUCGGGUUGUAAAGCACUUUCAGUGGGGAAGAAAGCCUUGGGGCUAAUACCCUCGAGGAAGGACAUCACCCACAGAAGAAGCACCGGCUAACUCCGUGCCAGCAGCCGCGGUAAUACGGAGGGUGCGAGCGUUAAUCGGAAUUACUGGGCGUAAAGCGCGCGUAGGCGGUCUGAUAAGCCGGUUGUGAAAGCCCCGGGCUCAACCUGGGAACGGCAUCCGGAACUGUCAGGCUAGAGUGCAGGAGAGGAAGGUAGAAUUCCCGGUUUAGCGGUGAAAUGCGUAGAGAUCGGGAGGAAUACCAGUGGCGAAGGCGGCCUUCUGGACUGACACUGACGCUGAGGUGCGUAAGCGUGGGUAGCAAACAGGAUUAGAUACCCUGGUAGUC